This 703-nucleotide ribosomal RNA is filed under the name uncultured bacterium. RNAcentral describes it as "bacterial SSU rRNA". It matches the Rfam family "Bacterial small subunit ribosomal RNA", at positions 60 to 778 of the family's 1533-position model. The record is from RNAcentral.
AGUCCGGGGGCUCGCAGAGCACCGGCGAACGGGUGCGUACACGUGAGCAAUCUGCCGAUUUCUGGGGGAUAGCCGGCCCAACGGCCGGGUAAUACCGCAUACGUUCUCGAGGGGGAGUCCCCUUGGGAAGAAACCUCCGGGGGAAAUCGAGGAGCUCGCGGCCUAUCAGCUAGUUGGCGGUGUAAUGGACCACCAAGGCUAUGACGGGUAGCUGGUCUGAGAGGAUGGCCAGCCACAUUGGGACUGAGAGACGGCCCAGACUCCUACGGGAGGCAGCAGUGGGGAAUCUUGCGCAAUGGCCGAAAGGCUGACGCAGCGACGCCGCGUGUGGGAUGAAGCAUUUCGGUGUGUAAGCCACUGUUGCCCGGGACGAACAUCCUCUUUCGAGAGGACUGACGGUACCGGGUGAGGAAGCACCGGCUAACUCCGUGCCAGCAGCCGCGGUAAUACGGAGGGUGCGAGCGUUGUCCGGAAUCACUGGGCGUAAAGGGCGCGUAGGUGGCCCGUGGAAGUCUGCGGUGAAAGCCCGGCGCUCAACGCCGGGUCGGCCGUGGAUACUCUCGGGCUUGAGCUUACUAGAGGCAGAUGGAAUUCCGGGUGUAGCGGUGGAAUGCGUAAAGAUCCGGAAGAACACCGGUGGCGAAGGCGGUCUGCUGGGGUAAUGCUGACACUGAUGCGCGACAGCGUGGGGAGCAAACAGGAU